AAAAACAUCUUUUCUUGUUAGUUUUUGAAGUAUGGCCUGCCCACUGACUGUUAGUUGAAGGGCCGCGGUAUUUUGACCGUGCAAAGGUAGCAUAAUCAUUAGUUCUUUAAUUGUGAUCUGGUAUGAAUGGCUUGACGAGACAUGAGCUGUCUUAGAGGUAUUGGUUUGUUGAAUUUGGUUUUUGAGUUAAAAUUCUUAAAUGUUUUUAUGGGACGAGAAGACCCUAUAGAGUUUGACAAUUUUCUUAUUUGUUUAUUGUUUGUUUCUUGUUACAUUGAGUGGGAAUAAUUGUUUUGUUGGGGUGAUGGGAGGAAAAAUAUUUAACUCCUCUUUGUUUUUGUAUAUUUAUGUAUAUUUUUUUGAUCCAUUUAUUUUGAUUAUAAGAUUAAAUUACC
RNAcentral lists this ribosomal RNA (395 nucleotides) under Nasutitermes sp. 14 NCCPB-2018. RNAcentral's name for it is "partial large subunit ribosomal RNA". The record is from RNAcentral. Lineage: Eukaryota; Metazoa; Arthropoda; Insecta; Blattodea; Termitidae.